This is a long non-coding RNA of Gallus gallus (chicken), 1163 nucleotides long. The record is from Ensembl. Lineage: Eukaryota; Metazoa; Chordata; Aves; Galliformes; Phasianidae.
AUUAAACAUUAGGAUUUAUGGGGUUGGAGAUAUUACUGCUCUGAGAACAUUAUCUUCCUGAUGAAAGAUCUAAAUGCAAAUAGAAGGAAUGCCAAAAUACCCUGGAACAUAAUUAAGGAUACUGAGGUGUGAAGAAGCCCUAGGCAUAGGAAUGUGCAGUUUUCUUAACUUCCACUUUCACGGUGGGCUGGUUUUCUUUGUUCCACAUUUCUAUCCACUGUCCCAAUGUGCCAUCUUGUUUCUUUUUUUACUAGUUCUCAAGUGAAGAAAAAAAAAAAAAAAAAAAAGUAAAUGCACUCCUAUAUGGAUUAUCAAAGAAAAGAUGUUUCUGACUUAAAACAUACCCUUGCUGUCUGUACUGGGAAACAGCCAUUCAGUGAUGUCUAAAAGAGCUUCCUUGGUGGCCUGGUUUUCUAGCACAUUUCUUAUCAUGAAUGUCAUCUCUCCACUUGGAAUGGACAGCAGCAAUGAUAGACAUGCAAUGAUCAGCAGCAAACAGAUUUUAACCUUAUUUAACUGGUGGAAGCUGCUUCUGCUGAAGAUGAUACUUCUAUUCUGAAUGAGAAGUAGUUGGUAGCUUGAGAACAACCUUCAAAGGAGACCAGCAUUCUGUGCUGCAACAAGAAGGGGAGAGCUAAAGAGGAGGAGCUUGGAAAAGGAUCAUAUGAACAAACCAGUGGGCAGCACCAAGGUUGUCAGUCCAGCUUGAGCACUGAUAUGGGUGUCAAGAAUUUAUACGUUUCCAUUGUUAACAUACUUCUGUGUAUCCAUCACUGGGUUUAGGUUAAAAAACUUGGAGUUGUAGCAUACUGCAUAUUCAGACCAUGUAUCCACCAUCCAUGCAGAAAACCUAAUACAAUGGAUGACUGUUAACUGUGAAAUAGCUAGAUUAAUUUUCUAAGUGAACAGUGAAAAGAUAUUGCUUAGUAUUAUAUAUAUCCUCCCUUUGCCACAUCUCAAGUUCCCUGAAAACCUCCACAUAUCUCUGGAAAUGACUGUAUUCUUCUGAAAUAUCAUCUAGCUUAAUCCUGCUUGUGGAAGAAACCACAUCCAUCCUGUGCAAAUGAGAAGGAAAAUUAAAUUGUGGGUGUAACACAGUAACACAAUGGAAAUCACAGCAACGAUAGCAGAGUAGCAAAGUCCUAGGCUGCUGCAAAGGGGGA